This is a non-coding RNA of Strongylocentrotus purpuratus (purple sea urchin), 74 nucleotides long. The record is from Rfam. Lineage: Eukaryota; Metazoa; Echinodermata; Echinoidea; Camarodonta; Strongylocentrotidae.
GGCAUGGUAGGCUCAGUGGUGAGAGCGCCCGCCUCAUGAACGGGAGGCCGUGGGUUCGAUCCCCGGCCGAGUCA